CGCAGUAGUUUACUAAAUUAGUAUACGUGUACAAUUUAUGUUAUGUGAGCCCGCUUAGCUCAGAGGUUAGAGCAUCGCAUUUGUAAUGCGAUGGUCAUCGGUUCGAUUCCGAUAGCCGGCUUUUCUCCAUUUGUUUUAUUUUUUAGAUAAUUGAAAUCUAAAGUGAAAAGCUUCUUUGCCCGUUCCUAAAGGUCGCCGAGCCCCUUCCCCUUCGAUUA
RNAcentral lists this transfer RNA (218 nucleotides) under Rosa chinensis. Its description in RNAcentral is "sRNA RchiOBHm_CPg0502211". The stretch from base 49 to 121 matches the Rfam family "tRNA". Lineage: Eukaryota; Viridiplantae; Streptophyta; Magnoliopsida; Rosales; Rosaceae. The record is from RNAcentral.